MicroRNA precursor from Astatotilapia calliptera (eastern happy), 60 nucleotides. The record is from Ensembl. NCBI's taxonomy places the organism in Eukaryota, Metazoa, Chordata, Actinopteri, Cichliformes, Cichlidae.
UGAAAGUGCCUUCACUGCAGUAGAAUUGAACAAAACUACCUGCACUGUAAGCACUUUGGC